This 73-nucleotide transfer RNA is filed under the name Stegodyphus mimosarum. It matches the Rfam family "tRNA". Rfam says of the family: Transfer RNA (tRNA) molecules are approximately 80 nucleotides in length. Their secondary structure includes four short double-helical elements and three loops (D, anti-codon, and T loops). Further hydrogen bonds mediate the characteristic L-shaped molecular structure. tRNAs have two regions of fundamental functional importance: the anti-codon, which is responsible for specific mRNA codon recognition, and the 3' end, to which the tRNAs corresponding amino acid is attached (by aminoacyl-tRNA synthetases). tRNAs cope with the degeneracy of the genetic code in two manners: having more than one tRNA (with a specific anti-codon) for a particular amino acid; and 'wobble' base-pairing, i.e. permitting non-standard base-pairing at the 3rd anti-codon position. Lineage: Eukaryota; Metazoa; Arthropoda; Arachnida; Araneae; Eresidae. The record is from Rfam by way of RNAcentral.
GCCUUCGUGGUGUAGUGGUCAGCACUCUCGGCGCGAAUUCGAGAGGUCCGUGGUUCGAGUCCUGGUGAGGGCA